UCUUCUCUGACUCGGUCUCCUCUUUCUUCUUCUCUGUGUGCCCGCCGUCACCGCCGUCGCCCGCCGCCCGCAGCCAUCCCGCCCGCCGUAGCCACCUUCGUCGCAGGGAUGCAGACCAACAUCGUGUCACCCCAAUCUCGCCCCUCCCAGCCGGCUAGAUCUCCUCUAUCCUCUUCUCUGGCUCGGCCUCCUCUUUCUUCUUCUAUGCGUGCCCGUCGUCGCCGCCGCCGCCCCCGCCGCCGCAGCCAUCCCCGCCCGCCCCCACAUCCAUCCCCGCCCGCCGUGGCCACCUCCGUUGCAGGGAUGCAGACCAACAUCGUCUCGCCCCAAUCUCGCCCCUCCCUACGUCCUCGAGCUCCCCACACAUCUCGGAUUCGAAGAAGAGUGCAUGUUGCACGGGGUCGUACGGUACACCGAAAUUGAUGCUAUAGGAAGGAACCCCUCGGCCACGAUUAGAUCGCAUCGCAAGUUUCUUGCCCGACAUCGCCGUUCCUCUACACCAUCGAUUUCGUUGGAGAUCCGUCUGCAGGUGCUCCACCGCCCGCUGGAAUUUCGCCUGGCCUGAGAAAAACAAUGACUCGACGUCGCCGGGUCGCAGCACAAAAUUCGACCAGUCCCAGCAAAAAAAAGAACAGUUACAGCAAAAAAAAUCUCCGUCGUGGUCAGAGAAAAUGGAUGACAACACUGAAUUGACCAUUGUUGAGGAUUUUGAUAACCGACCUUAAAAAAAAUGUAUGGAAUCCAGUGUUUUGGAUAGGUUCAAAUAAGUUCAAAUUCUUGGGUGGGUUCAAAUAUUUUGUCAUGAGAAGUCCAUAUGUUCAGUUUUGGGAAAGUAUACCUGCCGCUGAAAGAACAGGGAAAAGACCGUUUCAUUUACGCCAAGGUUGCCCUGAUGCUGAUCACCAGCGGGGCGUUGCCAGUAGCAUGCCGCCUGGCCAGCUCUGCAACUACACGGUUAAGGAGGAGAUAGGUCGAGGGUUUGAUAAUGGACAUAACACAGCUACUGGAGAGGAGAUUAAAAUAUGGAAGAUAGUAACAGAGGAGGAAGCUGAGGCUGGUAGAUCAAUUGAGCAAGAGUCCCGUACCCAGGUGUGUUUAUAAUGGAGCUGUUUGUAAGAUCAAUGCUGCAUGGAUGGUUGCACUCAGAGUCUCUGUAGUUAUUUAGCUGAAGGUGUGCAUGAGUUUGAGCUAUAUAUUAUUUUUGUAGUUUUAACUUUAGAACCAUGAAAGUUGUCCCUUUUUUAUAAAUAACUUCAUGUGGAGAAAUAUUGUUUUUGAGGGAAACAAGGUCAAGAAUUCGCAUUAGUGGUUGGUAGUGGUAAUAUAAUAAGUUCGCAUUUUAUACCAGCUAGCAAGACUUCACAGAAAUUUGUUAGAGGAAUUGCAGCACCUUUAUCAAAUAUUAUUUUACUUAUUCUUUUUAGUUUUAGACAAGAACAACAGAGAAUCUCAACCUUCUACUAUUACAGUACCUGUAGUAGAACAACCGCUAACUCAAACUUCAGAGAAGAUGGGCAUGCAUGACUGUUUUGGUUGCAACUUCCAACAACAAGUGCAUCAUAUUUGUGUGUAUCCGGCAGCUUAUGCAGCCCAUAAUUAGUUUCCCGGCAGAUUGAUGAUUGGGAGAAGUACAUGGAAUGCCCCUGUAUAGGUGCGUACUGAAUGACGAUUGGGAGUUUUCUGAAGGUUAGAAUUCCAGCAUAUUAGUAUCUUCAUUUUCCAACAGACUAAAAGGAUAUAAGUUUUGGCUGUGUGCCCAUUUGUGUGUGCACGUGGGUAAAAGAUCCUUGGAGAUUUUCGUUUUUUAGAUCUCUGAUGCACCUUGAGCUAGCAAUCCAACCUACAAUAUCAUUCGUAUGAACAAAGCUCAAAAGAAAAUAUUCUGAAUAUUGUCCUGACAUUCUUGUGAAUCUGCACCUCAAAGUUUUAAUUUUUGCAGCAAACAAUGCAGAGAAACAAGAGUAACAAGUACGGAGUAAUAGAUCGUAUAAAUGUAUGGUGGUGAUCAGUCAUGGUCCAAGAACGACAGGGAAAUUAAAACUAAGCACCACAUGCCUGUAUAAUAGCAGAACUAGAGCAAGAGAAGAAUGUUGGCUAGCAGGUCGACAACGACGCCUGCUAAGGGAGCAUCCACACGUGCAUCCUUUUGCCACUGCCGAAGCCCCCUAUCCUCGAGCUUGACAGGCUCGUGUGCCAUCCUGGACGACGUCCUCGCCAUGGCCCCAAGCCUCGCAACCACGUCGCCAGCUGCCGCCAAGCUGAGCAUGUUGGCAGACCAGGAUGAGGACAACCCAUACCGCACCCAAGGUUUUUAGUAGAUGAAGGAGAAAGUCCGCGCCAAGAAGACCAUUAUGAUGGAUUCAAGAGAAUCAAGAGUGAAGCAUCAAGAUACGAUAAAUAUGUCGAUGACAAAUAUGCCUACCGAGACACGAGUGGUUUCAGAUAUCUUUGGUUGAUUAGGAUUUGCUCACAUAGAGAAAGGAUGGCCACAUAUAUAUGGUAGUUACUUCCAUGUCACAAAUGUGUUCUUUCAGUGGGUAUUGCACAAUCACGUUGAAGUUUCACAACAAACACAUUUUCAGUGUUGCUGUCAUGUCAUAUAUCUCUACAGUGUUUGAUCACAAUUUAGACAAUUGAUCUGAUGUUGCUCAUCUUUUCGUAUAA
Aegilops tauschii subsp. strangulata is the source of this 2664-nucleotide non-coding RNA. The record is from RefSeq and is a predicted model, not a curated record. NCBI's taxonomy places the organism in Eukaryota, Viridiplantae, Streptophyta, Magnoliopsida, Poales, Poaceae.